CCCCUAGUUAGAUAAAUAAAUUUAGAUUAUAGAUUAUGACUUUAGCAAUAAAAAGAAAUUUUGUGCUCCAAGAUACUAAUAAAAUUUUGAGGCCUAAAUAAAUAUUUUUCUAUAUAUUGGGCUUUAUUUAAUUAUUUUUGCUUUUUGGGCUACCAUUUAAUAAUAGCCCGUAAUUUGAAUUGUAAAACAAGUAGAUUGUGAGUAUUAACUUGAAUUGAUUCUUAAUUCCCAGUUGGAUUACGUGGUCUUUCCUUUAUUCAGCCACAUUUGACAUUUUAUUCUUAGCCACGUAUCAUUUGUAUCAUUUCAAAUCGCAGUUUUAACCACCACGUAUCAUUCCAAAACCUAUCUCAUUUAAAUUCAUCCAUCAGCUAUAAUCAAUUUCAUUUUUCAGCAAUUUUUAACUCGUCUUCGUUCUGCAGAGGUAAUUUUAUUGAUUUUGAAAAUUCUAGCAAACAUCCAGCAUGAGAUAAUUUAUGUUUAUUUUCAGUAAUAAUUCACCUUUCUGCAUUAAAAAUCAAAAGAAAAAGAAAGAAUAAAAUGGAAUUAGAAACACAGAAGUAGAGUGGAGAUGGGGAAUUGUUGGUGAGCGGAUACUGGACAGACGUGAAGCGAGAGAGGCGGCUGAACGGCGCCGCCGGGCGCUGCCUGCGCCACGGCGGCCGGCGAAGAGGAAACAGGGAGGCGGCGACGGUGGUUGGGCGGCAUCAGAUCUAGAAAAGGGGAGGCGGCGGCUGGGCUGUGCUGCUGUCAACGCGGAGGCGGCGAUGGUGGCAGCUGCCGUCGACCAGAAGAGGGAGAAAUGAGAGGAGUGGUAGGUACUGACAAGGCGGCGGGAGUCACCGGAGAAGGGAGAUGGCCGCGGCAAGGCGCGGCGAGGAGAAGGGCAGAGGGGGCGAGAAAUGAGGAAGAGGGAGAGAGGUUGAGGAGAGGACAGGGGGAGCCAGAGCCGCCGGCCUCCGGCGGCGGCAGGAGGCCGAGAAGAGGAGAGGGAGAGAAGGAGAGAGAGAGUGAGGCUGCGUGAGUUUGUGUGGUGGUGUGUGUGGGUGAAUUUAAGUUAGGUGAUUGAGAGAAUGGGCUUGGGCCUAGGAUGGUUUGUUUUUAAAAUGGGCUCAGAUUUAUUAAAAAUGUUUGGGCUAAGCUUUUAAUUUAUUUAUGGGCUGCAGAUUUCUUUCUAAAUAGGUUGCAAUUGCAUUUGAUUUUAAAUAUCAAUCCAUAUUUUUCAUAAGAAAAUAUAUUUUACUAAUUAAUUCAUUAGAUCAAUGAUUUUAUGAUAUAAAUUCUUAAGAUUUAAACUACUAUUAUUAUUAUUUUUAAAGUUCAAUUAGGCCCUUAUGUUUAUUAUUUGAAUUUAUCUGACUAG
This 1363-nucleotide long non-coding RNA is filed under the name Salvia miltiorrhiza (redroot sage). RNAcentral's name for it is "long non-coding RNA (SMIL_LNC007858)". The record is from RNAcentral. Lineage: Eukaryota; Viridiplantae; Streptophyta; Magnoliopsida; Lamiales; Lamiaceae.